Molecule: ribosomal RNA, 400 nt
Filed under: uncultured bacterium
Lineage: Bacteria
Description: bacterial SSU rRNA
Rfam family: Bacterial small subunit ribosomal RNA
Source: RNAcentral
UCGAGAAUAUUCCACAAUGGACGAAAGUCUGAUGGAGCGACGCCGCGUGCAGGAAGAAGGCCCUUGGGUCGUAAACUGCUUUUGUAAGGAAAAAAUGUAAUGAUGGUACCUUGCGAAUAAGAGGUUACUAACUCUGUGCCAGCAGUAGCGGUAAUACAGAGACCUCAAGCGUUAUCCGGAUUUAUUGGGCGUAAAGAGCAUGUAGGCGGAUAUAUUAGUCAGAUGUCAAAUCUUCGAGCUUAACUCGAAAACUGCAUUUGAAACGGUAUAUCUAGAGAGAGGGAGAGAUCAAUGGAACAUAUGGUGUAGCAGUGAAAUGCGUUGAUAUCAUAUGGAACACCAAAGGCGAAGGCAUUUGGUUGGCCCUCAUCUGACGCUGAGAUGCGAAAGCGUGGGUAGC